This 490-nucleotide ribosomal RNA is filed under the name uncultured bacterium. RNAcentral describes it as "bacterial SSU rRNA". It matches the Rfam family "Bacterial small subunit ribosomal RNA", at positions 355 to 862 of the family's 1533-position model. The record is from RNAcentral.
UGGGGAAUCUUGGACAAUGGGGGCAACCCUGAUCCAGCCAUGCCGCGUGAGUGAUGAAGGCCUUAGGGUCGUAAAGCUCUUUCGCCUGUGAAGAUAAUGACGGUAGCAGGUAAAGAAACCCCGGCUAACUCCGUGCCAGCAGCCGCGGUAAUACGGAGGGGGUUAGCGUUGUUCGGAAUUACUGGGCGUAAAGCGCACGUAGGCGGACCAGAAAGUUGGGGGUGAAAUCCCGGGGGCUCAACCCCGGAACUGCCUCCAAAACUAUUGGUCUAGAGUUCGAGAGAGGUGAGUGGAAUUCCAAGUGUAGAGGUGAAAUUCGUAGAUAUUCGGAGGAACACCAGUGGCGAAGGCGGCUCACUGGCUCGAUACUGACGCUGAGGUGCGAAAGUGUGGGGAGCAAACAGGAUUAGAUACCCUGGUAGUCCACACCGUAAACGAUGAAUGCCAGUCGUCGGAUAGCAUGCUAUUCGGUGACACACCUAACGGAUUC